This 731-nucleotide long non-coding RNA is filed under the name Pongo abelii (Sumatran orangutan). RNAcentral's name for it is "lincRNA". The record is from RNAcentral. Lineage: Eukaryota; Metazoa; Chordata; Mammalia; Primates; Hominidae.
AGCCUUUCAAGGAAUAUGGAGAAGUUAACAUGUGAGGAUGUCAGAACAAGAACACAGAGGGUGCCUUCGUCCCUAAUACUUUGGGGGCCACCAUAUUAUCCCUGGACUACUUAGCAUGGACCAUUAUAUAAUAGAGAAAUAAAUUUAUUUCCUGUAUAUGCCGUUGCUAUUUUUGCCUUCGAUAAUGCAGCUGAUCUGAAAACUAAUUAAUUUAGAGAUAAAAAGAGAAUGUAUGUUCUGACUAAUCAUGGUGAGUAGUCUCUGUUCUGUUCUUUAUAAUAAAGCAUGGAUUUCUCUGUUGUGAUUUCUUCCUAUUUAAGGUAAAAAGAUAAGGUCUUCCUUCUUUUUUUCUUUUUUUAAAUUUCAAUAUCUUUUGAGGUACCAGUGGUUUUUGGUUACAUGGAUGAGGUGUAUAGCGGUGAAUUCUGAGAUUUUAGUGUACCCAUUACCCAAGCAGUGUACACUGUACCCAAUAUGUAGUCUUUUAUCCCUCACCCGUCUCCCAACCUUCCCUCAGGGUCCCCAAAGUCCAUUAUAUCACUCUGUAUGUCUUUGUAUCCUCAUAGCUUAGCUGAAUCAAGAUAUAUUUUAAAGGUAAAAAUGUUAACACUUGAUAAUGGAUUGGAUAUGCGGCAUUUAGAGAUUGGAUAGGUUGGGAUUUUUUAAACGUUCUGAAUUGUAAUUUAUGUCAGAAAUUGUCCAAAGCACUUUCAUUAAACUUCCGAUUUCUC